Non-coding RNA from Callithrix jacchus (white-tufted-ear marmoset), 16304 nucleotides. Lineage: Eukaryota; Metazoa; Chordata; Mammalia; Primates; Cebidae. The record is from RefSeq and is a predicted model, not a curated record.
AACAUGGUGAAACCCCGUCUCUACUAAAAAUACAAAAAAUUAGCUGGGCAUGGUGGCACGUGCCUGUAAUCCCAGCUACUCAGGAGGCUGAGGCGGGAGAAUUGCCUGAACCCAGUAGGCGGAGGUUGCGGUGAGCCGAGAUCGUGCCAUUGCACUCCAGCCUGGGUAACAAGAGCGAAACUCCGUCUCAAUAAAAAGGUAACAAACACAUAAGGUAAAACAUUCAAACAAUAUGAAUAGGGAAAAAAGAUCAUGUGUAAAUGUGUCUUUAUCCUUAAAUAAAUAAGAACAUUAUAUAUUGUCCUUUUCUUUCCUUUUAAUAUUAAAAGGAAGGAUGAUCCUGGAAGCCUGAAGGACUUGGUGACAGGGGACAGAGCUGAAGCUUGGAGUGUCCCUACAUUAACUAGCUUAUCCCAUUUUAUGAAUGAAGAAAUGCAUACGUUCAGAGAUACUAAAUGCAGACCCAUUUUGUUUUAUGGUGUUUUGCUUUGGUAUGCUCCGCAGAUAUUUUGUUUUCUGCAAAUUGAAGGUUGUGACAACCCUGUGUGGGACAAGUCUAAUGGUGCCAUUUUUCCAACAGAAUAUGCUCACUUCAUGUCUCUGUGUCACAUUUUGGUAGUUCUAGCAAUAUCUUAUACUCUUUCAUUGCUAUUACAUCUGUUGCAGUGAUCUGUGGUCUUUGAUGUUAUUAUUGUAAUUGUUUUGGGGUGCCACCAACCAUGCUCAUAUAAGACAGUGAUCUUAGUGAAUAAAUGUCAUGUACUUUGCCCCAGACUGGUUGUUUCUCAUCUCCCUCCCUCUCCUCCGGCCUCCCUAUUCCCUGAGACACAUCAAUAUUGAAAUUAGGCUAAUUAAUAACCCUACAAUGGCCUCUCAGUGUUCAAGUGAAAGGAGCAGUCACGCGUCUCUCACUUUAACUCAACAGCUAGAAAUGGUUAUGUUGAGUGAGGGAGGCACAUUGAAAGUUGAGCCAGGUGGAAAGUUUGGCCUCUUGUACCAAACAGUGAAGUUGUGAAUGCAAAGGGAAAGUUCUUGAAGGAAAUGGAGAGUGUUGCUCCGAUGAACACACAAAUGAUAAAAAAGCAAAACAGCCUUAUUGCUGACACUGAGAAAGUUAUGGUGGUCUGGAUAGAAGAUUAAACCAGCCACAACAUUUCCUUAAGCCAAAGCCUAAUUCAGAGCAAGGCCCAACUCUCUUCAAUUCUGUGAAGGCUGAGAGAAGUGAGGAAGCAGCAGAAGAAAAGUACGAUGACAGUAGAGGUUGGUUCAAGAGGUUUAAGGAAAGAGGCCUCCUCCAUAACAGAAAAAUGCAAGGAGAAGCAGCAAUGCUGAUGUGGAAGCUACAGCAAGUUAUUCAGAAGAUCUAGGAUCAUUGAUAAAAGUGGCUAAACAGCAGAUUUCCAAUGUAGACCAAAAAAGCCUUCUAUUGGAAGAAGACGGUAUCUAGGACUUUUAUAGUUAAAGAGGAGAAGUCGAUGACUGGCUUAAAAGCUUCAAAGAAGGUUAGUGAAAUAUGCACAAGUUUAAAUAACAGAAUGGAUCAAGCAGAAGAAAGGAUAUCAGAGGUCGAAGACCAACUUAAUGAAAUAAAAUGACAAGACAAGAAUAGAGAAAAAAGGAUGAAAAGGAAUGAGCAAAGUCUCCAAGAAAUAUAGGACUAUGUGAAAAGACCCAAUCUACAUUUGAUUGGUGUACCUGAAUGUGAUGGAGAGAAUGAAUCCAAGCUGGAAAAUACUUUUCAGGAUAUUAUCCAGGAAAAUUUUCCCAAUCUAGCAAAGCAGGACACUAUUCAACCCCAGGUAAUACAGAGAACACCACAAAGAUAUUCCUCAAGAAGAGCAACCCCAAGGCACAUAUUCGUUAGAUUCACCAGGAUCGAAACGAAGGAGAAAAUACUAAGGGCAGCCAGAGAGAAAGGCCAGGUUACCCAUAAAGGGAAGCCUAUUAGACUUACAGCAGAUCUCUCAGCGGAAACCCUACAAGCUUGAAGAGAGUGGGGGCCAAUAUUCAAUAUACUUAAAGAACAGAACUUUCAGCCUAGAAUCUCAUAUCCUGCCAAACUAAGCUUCACAAUUGAAGGAAAAAUAAAAUCUUUUAUGAACAAGCAAGUACUCAGAGAUUUUAUUACCACCAGGCCUGCUUUACAAGAACUUCUGAAAGAAGCAUUAUACAUAGAAAGGAACAACCAGUAUGAGCCUUUCUAAAAAUAUACCAAAAAGUAAAGAGCAUCAACAUAAAGAAGAAUUUACAUAAAACACCCAGUUAACAUCAAAUGGCAGUAACCCUAAAUUUAAAUCGACUAAAUCCCCCAAUCAAAAGAUACAGCCAAAACUUAAUGGUAUAUCCAAAGAUACACAAAGACUCAAAACAAAGGGUUGAAGAAAAAUUUACCAACCAAAUGGAGAGCAAAAAUAAAUAAAUAAACAAAAAGCAGGAGUUGCAAUUCUCACAUUUGAUAAAAUAGAUUUCAAAGCAACAAAGAUACAGUGGUAAAAGAAUCAAUGCAACAGUAAGAGAUCUUAAUACCCAGAUACAUAAGACCCAUAACGAGAUUUAGACUCAACGAGACAGAAAAUUAAUAAGGAUAUCCAGGACUUCAACUCAGAUCCGGAACAAGUAAACUCAGUAAGUAUUUAUAGAGUUCUCCAUUUUAAACACACAAAAUAUUGAUCAGCCAUUAUUAAUACCCAUUUUUUAGAAUGAAGCAAUAUUCCUGAUUCCUGUUCUCUCUUCCUCUUUUUCUUCCUCUUUCUUCCUCUCCUUCUCUCCUUUUUUUACUUUUCAACAUCCUAGUUCCUCACUUUUACUCAAUACAUUCCUCUGAACACCUGAUUCCUUGUGAUUCUCCUGUCCCACUGAAACCUCCAAUCCAUUAAAAAAAAAAGUAAUCCCUGGGAAUGAAGGCAAGAGGGAAAAGAUCGUUAGUACAAAUACCUAGUGCAUGCGAGGCUUAAAACCUCAAUGAUGGGUUGAUAGGUGCAACAAACAACCAUGACACGUUUAUACUUACGUAAUAAACCAGCUCAUUCCACACUUGCAUCUCAGAACUUAAAAUAAAAUUAAAACACACACACACACACACACACACACACACACACACACACACAGAAGGUAGGAUACAGUGGCUAAUGACUGUAAUCCCAGCACAUUGUUACGAUACUUACCAGCUUGCUGCAGUCCUGCAGCCUCCUGUAAUUACAGAAAAAAAAUUAAAAAAGCACCAAUCUGGAGAACUGUACCCUUAUGAUGCACAGACAGCUUUGCUUUCUGUGGCCACACCAGCCUGGGUGCACUAAAGAUGGGGGAGGUUCAGGUAAAAAAAAAAAGCUUCAAAGAAGAGGCUGACUCUCUCUCAGGGGUAAAUGCAGCUGGUGGCUUUAAAUUGAUGCCAGUGCUAAUUUACCAUUCUGAGACUCCAAGAGCCCUUAAGAAUUAUGCUAAAUUUACUCUGUCUUUGCUCUAUAUAUGAAAAAACAAAGGCUGAGUGACAGCACAUGUUUACAGCAUGGUCUACUGAAUUUUUGUUUGUUUUUUGAGAUGGAGUUUUGCUCUUGUUGCCCAGGCUGGAGUGCAAUGGCAUGAUCUUGGCUCACUGUAACCUCUGCCUCCCAGAUUCAAGUGUUCUUCCUGCUUCAGACUCCCAAGUAGCUGGGAUUAUGGGUUCCUGCCACCACAUCUGGCUAAUUUUGUAUUAUCAGUAGAUAUGAGAUUUCACUAUGUUGGCCAGGCUGGUCUUAAACUCCUGGCCUCAGGAGAUCCACCCACCUCAGCCUCCCAAACUGCUAGGAUUACAAGUCUACUGAAUAUUUUAAGCCCACUGUUGAGAACUACUGCUCAAAAAAAAAAAAAAAAAUUCCCUUCAAAAUCUUACUGUUCAUGGACAAUGAGUCUAGUUACCCAAGAGCUCUGAUGGAGAUACAAUGCUGUUUUCACAACUAUGAAAACAACAACUGUUCCGUGGCCCAUGGAUCAAGGAGUAAUUUCAACUUUCAAAUCUACUUUUUAAAAAUAUAUUUUAUAAGCCUAUAGCUGCCAUAAAUAGUGACUUCUUUGAUGGAUUUGGGCAAAGUAAAUUAAAAAUCUUCUGGAAAGGAUUCACCACUCUCUUUUUUUUUUUUUUCCUUUUCCCCCCUAUAUAGCACAUUACUGAAUAAGGAUCCACCAUUCUCAAUGCCAUUAAGAACAUCUGUGAUUCAUGGGAGGAGGUCAAAAUAUCCACCUUAACAGGAGUUUGGAAAUUAGGGUUUCACCAUGUUGGCUAGGCGCUGAUCAUGAAUUCCUGACCUCAAGUGAUCUGCCUGCCUCGAUGUCCCAAAUUUCUGGGAAUACAGGCAUGAGCCACUGCACCCAGUCAGAAAGCCUUUCUAAGGCACAAAGAAAGCAAGAGAGAGAAAUGGAUCCCUGGCAACAUGAUGCAGCUUCUGGAUCUUGCUGUACUGGACACCAGUGGCAUAUCUGGACUUCACAGUUAAGUGAACCAACAUUUCCUAUUUUUUGUGCAUCAGCUGUUGGGAUUGGGUUUGUAUCACUGGCAAAUAAUGAAUAUGCUGUCUCUUCAUUCAAAUACUGGUGUGACUAGGUUCAGAGAAUGAAAGCAGAUGUUCAGCUGUGAUAUCUGGAACAUAGGGUCCGGGAGGACCAGAAGCACAGUAUUGGGCAUUGAGAGCGUGAAGUACAGUCAGCACAUAGACCAAGCAUCCCUAUCCUGGACUUGCAGAAGAUGUUGUUGGUCUAUCACACCAUUUUUUUCUCCAGAGUCAGGACAAGCCAUUGCAACCUUGUUCUUCUCAACAUAGAGCUUCAGGGAGUCACUAGCAUUGGUUUGACGUUGUGCGUACAUUUUCCACUCCGGAAUUAAUACCUACAGAGUGCGAUGCAUUUGUCCAGGAAGAGUCAAUCAGCUUGGAGGUUCACUCAGUCUUACGGGAAUUUCUUCCUUGUGGAUUCUUUCAGAAUAUUGCAUGGUCAGUUUAUCAAAACUUCUAUAAAUGUGAAUCAUGAUAAAUUAUUGAGCUUGCUUUUUAUGUAUUUAAUUAAGUUAAUUAAUUUGUUUUAAGACAGAGUCUACCUCUGUUGUCCAGGCUGGAGUGCAGUAGCAUGAUCUCAGCUCACUGCAACCUCCACCUCCUGGGUUCAUGCAAUUCUCCUGCCUCAGCCUCUUAAGUAGCUGGGAUCACAGGCUCCCACCAUCAUGCCCAGCUAAUUUUUGUAGUUUUAGUAGAGAUGGGGUUUCAUCAUGUUGGCCAGGCUGGUCUCGAACUCCUGACCUCAGAUGAUCUACCCACCUCUGCUUCCCAAAGGGCUGGGAUUACAGGCAUGAGCCACUGGGCCCAGCCUCUUUUUAUAUAUUUUAAAUAUCUAUGUGUAACUGUAAAUUUGGUUCCUGAACCUACAUUCUUCCAUUGGUGUCUUUGCAUCUCUUAGUUGUUCCAGAGUAAUGAUAUUUUCAUUUGGUUUUGAGCACUGUCACGCACUCCUGUUUUGGGAGUUGUCUCUGUCAUUUACAGAGAAAGCCCAAGAGAUCUUGAAGCUGAUACAGUGGCAUUUCAUUUGGCAGGUACAGAUUUUCCUCCUGUAUAGAACAAUGCUUCCUUUUGCUAACCACCUUAAUUUCCUGCCCUUAUCAAUCUGAAAGUCAAUGAUUAUAGUUUAUUAUGUGGGUUUUCAUUUAGCCUUUCAUGUUUAAGUUCAACCAUUUCCCCAUAAGCAAGCAAGCAAAUUUCCUACUCAGGUAAUUCAAGUGCAGUUGCUAAGAGAAUUUGUAGCAGAGUUCCAUGGGCCUUAGCAGUCAGCUAGGACAGCCUAACAUCAUUGAAGCCUCUACCUAUUUUUCAAACCACCUUAAAAAUCCCUUAAAUAUUACAAAAGGAAUGCAAAUUACAUUAUGGCUGUAGAAAGGGUUGCUGUUUUGUCUUGAGACUUUAGUUGACCCAUAGAUUAAAUUUAAGAUGGUUUAGGACACAUAUAAAAGUCACCCAAUGCAAUGGUAAGGUUGAAAGUGCCUUCACUCUGGCCAAUUACAGGCGUUACUACUAUUCAUUGUCUUCAACAUUAAUUCUAAUAGCUAACAUUUAUCUGACAUUCACUUGUGCCACUGCCAAGUGCUUUGGUUGCAUUAUUGCGUUUAAUCCUACCAUAAGAAAGAUACACUUUUAUUUUAUUUAUUUAUUUUUCUUUUUUUUUGAGACAGAGUCUCGCUCUGUCACCCAGGCUGGAGUGCAGUGGCGCCAUCUUGGCUCACGGCAACCUUUGCUGCCCAGGUUCAAGCAAUUCUCCUGCCUCAGCCUCCUGAGUACCUGGAAUUACCAGUGUGCACCACCAUGACUGGCUAAUUUUUUUGUAUUUUCAGUAGAGAUGGGAUUUCACCAUGUUGAUCAAGCUGGUCUCGAAAUUCUGCCCUUGUGAUUCUCCCAACCUCUGCCACUGAAAGUGCUGGGAUUAGACAUGAGCCACCAUGCCAGGCCACUUUUCUAGUUUACAGAUACACCUGAGAGGUGACAGCCUGAGUAACGUGCCCACUUUUAUAACUAUUAAUUAAUUAGUGUACAGCCUGCAUUCGAUCCUAGAUGUGUAGGCGUCCAGAGCCCAUGUAGAUUAAAUGUGACUAUACAGACUUGCCUAUGUAUGCAUUAGGAUCAGAUGCAAGUAACAGGAAACCUCAAACUUGCAGUGGGUUAGUUUAUCCAUUUCCUUUAUGUUCAGGGGGUGUGGAGAGAAUCGUCCAGAGCUGGUAUGGCAUUCACCUGACACUGAAUGGCAUGAAUAGCAGUUUCUGCUGAUGUUCUAUUUUCAGCUACUUUUCUAUAAUAUGUCUGAGUACCAGAAUUUUAUAUUUUUGUAUCCAAUAAUAUUCUUAUCAUUGCUUUACAAAAUCAACUUAGAGCUUCAUUAAGAUGCCGUGUAUUAUUGUACAUUCAGACAUUUCAUGAGACAAAUUGGAGCCUCAAACCAAACAUUACAUAAAACAAAAGCUUGACAUUAUCAUUUGUCUACUGCACAAGGGUCAGUUCUGCCUUUUAAUACAAACACAAGAAGGGGCUUCUGCCAUUGAGGAAUAUUCUCACAGCCAGGCUUUUAUGUUCUUGGUAAUUAUUUUCCUACCUCACGUUUUGACCAGAAGCCAUGAGACAAAAACUUUGCUGGCCGCUGACCUCUCUCCUUUAUUCUGUGCCAAAAUCUGAGCUGGAAUGCGGAUCAUUCAAUUACGAAUUCCAGGUACUGUGCUAGGUGUCUCAUUAGCAACACAAAUGCUAAGAUAAUUCACUGUUCUUGUUUACUGGUCAGAGGGUUUCACAUGCCUGCCAUCUGCUUUAAUUCUCAUCUCUGAGAAUAUACAUUUACAUAAUCACAGAAGUCCAAGAGGAAGGAUGGGGUAUAUUUUUCAUUUGACGAAGUUCAUGCUCCCACUCUAUUUUAGGCACUGUUUAGAUGUGCAGAGGAGAGCUCCAAUAAACAACCUCUCUCUUUUCACUGCCCACGUUCAGAACCAAUUCACAGAUAAAAUAAAGGAGGAGGGCGGAUGAUAAAGGAAAAUCAUCUUUAUUUCUGAUACUGGUUGUGCGAAGGCAUAGCUGGGUGUGGGGCAUGGUGGGCUUCCUAAUACUGAAGGCUGGAGUUUGGCAGGCCUCUCAUUCCAUCUCAGGCAGUGUUAAUGACCAUAGGUUGGUGUCAGUUUGGGCUGCUGUCACAAGGUGCCAUAGACUGGGUGGUUUAUAAACAACAGAAAUUUAUUUCUGACAGUUCUGGAGGUUGGAAGUCUGAGAUCAGGGUGGCAGCAUGGUUGGGGUCUGGUGAGGGCCCUCUUCUGGUUUGCAGGUUUCUUGUAUCCUCACAUGAUAGAAAGAAGACGGAGCUCUCUCGGGUCCCUUUUAUAAGGGCACUAAUCCCAUUCAUGAGGGUUCCACCCUCAUGAGCUAACCACACCCCAAAAUUCUACCUUCUAAUACCAUCACCUCGGGGGUUAGAUUUCAACAUAUCAAUUUUGGGGGGCACAAACAUUCAGUCCAUCGCAGGUGAUCAACAAGGGGUCUGCCCCUGUAAAACCUGGGGGAUGGAGGAACCAAUCAGUGGUUGAAAAGGGAGGAGGGAAGGACUGAGAUAAAUUUCCUAGGGGAAAGCUGAGGCUAAACUGAGUGCUGUGCCUUCCCAUGGAAGGAGACCUCAGGAGUGAGCCAUCAUGUCCUCCCCUGACCAGUCUCUGCCCCCAUAGAGAUCAGACCAGAAACAUCAGAGGAAGCUCCCCUUGAUUUGCAGAGAAACUCAACUUCUGGUUUCUCCAGCUUUUCCCUUCACCAACUCCUGCUCCUCUGGUAGAGGCAAAGGCUUCCUUGAAGCUGAAGUCCCCUCUUAUGCCUUCAGUAUAUCAUCUCUGUGACUGUCCCUGCAGUCAGAUGAUCCGUAUCUUCGUAUCACCCUUCUCCCUGACUGCCUUUCCCUGCGAGCAGGCUGUGGGCAUUUUUGGUUUUGGAUGCUGAGAUGUAGGUGGACAUUUCUGGGGAGAGGACCAUUCUCAGCCUAAAAGGUAGAUCCUUUCUAAAGCACAAAGUUCUUUUGGCCCUUUGCUCUUCUUUUUUCUUCAUGCCUGGGAGGGGAGGAUGGGGCCCAGAGGGACAUAGCCAACUCGUGAUGAGAAGGCAGCUAAUACAAGAAUGAGAAGGAGGGGCCUCCUGCCAAGGACAUGAAGCAGAACUGGGAAGCACUUGGAUCCCUAACAACGCUGUCCCUGAUGACAUUUUCCCUGAUGACAUUGUGGAGAUCCCAGAGGGGACCUGGACCAGUGUCCCAAAGAUCCCCAAAGGGUAUUAUCCCGUGGUGUAUCAGAACCUAGGAAUAUUACAUUUUCAUGAUCAGUUGCUAUAGUUUAAUUUUUGAAAUACUCUUUUGGAGACAAAUACUUUACUCAACAUAUUCUGAUGUCUAAGGCAAAUUAGUACUUUUGUGGCUAAAAUUAUUUAAUUUUCUUUUUUUCAAACUUGUAUUAAUAUAGCUUAAAGGUCAAACGGAAGAGGAGGAUCAAUGGGCUAGAAGACUGAGAACAAUCUGAAGGACAAACCUGUAUCUCCAACACUAACGAUUCCUAACUAUGCAAGCUAGAAACUCAGGGAGCUCCUAGUCCAGACAUUCUCAUACUGUGUUACCUGGUGCCUUGGACUUCCCUGGAGGCGCUUUUAGGCUUCCCUAAGGGGCUGUAGGGAGGCUGAGUGGAUGGGCUCCGGCCCCACACUUGUUCAAACAGAACACUUCCACUUUUAUCUGCACUCUCUACUGAGCUCGUUACUCUUUGACAUGGUUUGGCUCUGUCCCCACCCAAAUCUCCCCUUGAAUUGUAAUAAUCCCCAUGUGUCAAGGGCGGGACACAGGAUUUGAUCUGGGGGUCCAAUUUGCACAAAAUGUGUGAAUGUACAAUAAUACACCACAUCUUAAUGAAGCUCUGAGUUGAUUUUGUAAAGCAGAGAUAAUUGAAUCAUGGGGGCAGUUCUGUCAUACUGUUCUCAGGGUAGUGAAUAAGUCUCAUGAGAUCUGAUGGUUUUAUAAAUGGGAGUUCCCCAGCACAAGCUUUCUUGCCUGCAGCCAUGUAAGAUGUGCCUUUGCUUCUCCUUUGCCUUCCACCAAGAUUAGGAGGCCUCCCCAGUCAUGCGAAACUGGGACUCCAUUAAACCUCUUUCCUUUAUAAAUUACCCAGUCUUGGGUAUGUCUUUAUUAGCAGCAUGAGAACAGAUUAAUACAUGCUUGUAACAAUUCAGGAGAAAACUAUGGAGAAACUUUAUGUUGUCAAAUUAAGUUCAAACUUUGUUGUUAAGUCAAAAUUAAAUUUUAAAACCAUGUAUCUGUUCUAACAUCAUUAUUUUGUAAAUAAGGAAGCUGACACCCAGCAAAGUUCAAAUGAUCAAAUGAUUAAGUGGCAGACUCAACUUAGUUUCCAAUACCUCCCUUCCCAUUCCCUGUGAAUGCUCAACUUUCACAGAUAAUGAAAGAGGGAGUUUCUGUCAAGUGUUCAUCUCUAUAAGACUACAUUUCUCUGGAAUAGCUCACCAUCCAGGAGCCUCACAGUAGAAAUGCCAUAGGGCUUUAAAUCACAGCCAUAGAGAAAAAGGAUACAAUAGAAAUGAGAAUUCCAGACAUAGCUGGACUUCAGGGUUGAUCAGGUUCUCAUUCUGUAAGCUCUGCUGUCUUUAAUAGGCUAAUUCAGACCAGUUCCCCACCUAAUAGUUGCCUGUGGGGACAAGCAUGGGAAUCCUAAAAUCCUGAAAGAAUCCCGACCUUUGUUCUGACGGUGUAUCUAUGAACUGAUAACUACAGCAAGCCAUCUUUGCUUCUAAGGAUAACAGCCAUGGGUUCUAGCUGCCUGCCUAAUAUUCUCUUUGUCUUACCUGUGGUUAUUCACAGUUUUAAGAGUAUUUCUCUUACUGAGUUAUCUCAUGUGAUCUAGCGAUAACUUUCCUUAUUUUUCCCAGCUCUUUUUUUGUGUGAAACCAUUACCUGAAGUGUUUCUUCCUACUGCUUUGUGAUUCUAGAGUUUGAUGUUAUGCCCCUUCAGUGCUGGCUUCAUUUUUGACAUUGUCUGGAUUAGUCAGGUUGCCUAGAGAGACAGAACUGGUAGGAUGGAUGUAUAUGUGAAGGAGAGUUUAUUAAGGAGAAUUACACAAUCACAAGGUGAAGUCCCACAAUAAGCUGUCUGCAAGCCAAGGAGCAAGGAAGCCAGUCCAAGUCCCAAAACCUCAAAAUAGGGGAGCCGACACUGCGGCCCUCAGACUGUGGCUGAAGACCCGAGAGCCCUUAGCAAAGCACUGGUUUAAGUCCAUGAGUCCGAAAGGUGAAGAAGUUGGAGUCUGAUGUUCAAGGGCAGGAAGCAUCCAGCAUGGGAGAAAGAUGGAGGCCACAGGACUCAGAGAGUCUAUUCAGUCCACUUUCUCCUGCCUGCUUUAUUCUAGCUAUUGGCAACUGAUUGGAUGGUGCCCACCCAGAUUGGGGGUGGAUCUGCCUCUCCCAGUCCACCGACUUAUAUGUUAAUCUCCUUUGGCAACACCCUCACAGACACACCCACGAACAAUACUUGGCAUCCUUCAAUCCAAUCAAGUUGACAUUCAAUAUUAACCAUCACAUUGUCUAACCUGAAAACCUGAGGGGAUUUGCUCAAAACAGCAUUUGCCAUCUGAGUGAUCGGGAGAGUGGCCUGUUUAUCUUUUCUGAUGGAUGGAGUUGAGUUUAUAUUGCCUCUGCCGUGUUUCUUAGGCGUCCUCUUUGUGGAGGUGACUGUGAUGUAUGAGGCCGAGGUGUAGGGAAAUAAGGAAAGCCCCCUAGUGAGCCCAUGUUGCUCAGGGGAACAGAUCACACCAGAUGUCUCUGGCUUCAAACACUGUGUUUGCAGGCCCUCUCCAUCCCUGGCCAGGAGCGAGGAAUUGGGAACGGAGCUGUGGAUUACGUCCAGAUUCUGAACUUUUACAACAUCCCUGUGCUUUCUAUUUUGUCUGGAUUAGUAGCAAAUCCCUUAAAUCAAAAUGACCUGUUUCUUUGUUUCCAAAGGACAAUAAAAAAGGAUAAAGUUGGCUUGGGGAAAGGAGCCCUUGGGAAAAGGAGCCUCAUGACUCAGGGAGGAUGAGGAAGCACAGAAAAAGGGCUGAGAGCAGCCCCAGCAGAGGACUUAGCAAGGGAAGGCCCGGAUUCUUGACAGAGUUCUUGGUCCCAAGGGUAUGUAAAAGGAGGAUAAGAGGGGAAGAGACAGAGGGAGGCUCUUUAAGGAUUUAAGGAAUAUUUCAGUCAAAACACUAUGCAGUUGGAGUUUUAUUUGCAGGAACUUAAGCAAAUAAAUUGAAAGAAGAAAACCAUACAGGCAAUAUUUUUUUAUGGAAGUGUAUAUAUAGCUGUAUAGAAUAUUGUAUUUGCUGUAAUAGCAAAAAUGAAAAGCAUUUUGAAUGAAGACAGAGAAACAAUAAAUAAACCAAAAUAGCAAUACAAUUAAAACUUUCUGCAUCCAUUGUGAGAAACAAAUGGCUCUCUAGAACUGUGUUGGCCAAGUGGCUACUGAAGUUCACUUCUGAAUGAAUUCCAAUGAAAUGGAAGAAAAGAUUCAGUUCCUCAGUUACGCUAGCCUUUCCGGUGCUCAAUAGCAGCAUGUGACUACUGUCGAGGGCAAUGAGCAUUUUCAUUAUCACAGAAAGUCCUGUUGGACAGCCCUGCUCUAGAAAGUUGGGAAAGUUUACAUGUGGCUGUUCAUAUGAAGCAAAAAGUAGCAUGAAACCAACAUACAAAUUACAUACAUGCAUGAAGAAAGAUUAGUCAAGGCCAGGGAGCAUUCAAAUUAUUUCCACCAGGGAAAUCAAUGCAUUAGGUGAAUUUACAAGUCACUUUUUAGAGUACUCUAGAGUUCCAUUACUAAUACAUAGCUAAUACAUGACUAAUACAUAAUGUUUUUGAAAACUUUCUUCAGGAAGCCAAUUGUAACUGAGGCUGCUGGGAUGAACAUCGAGAAGCGGUAGAGGAAGCGUCAGGGGAUGGAGCAAGGUUCUAGUGCUGGCUUUGUGACUAAAAUAGCUCUAUGAUCUCAUGGCAGUCACACUAAGUCUACUGGCCCCUUUUGUCAGAUGUUCUCUAAGGUCUCUUUCAAUGUAAAGAAAUGGGGGUGGUUCCGCCAUGUUCUCACUGACAAGUGGGAGUUGAACAAUGAGAGAACACAUGGACACAGGGAGGGGAACGUCACCCACUAAGUCCUCUCGGGGGAUGGGGAGCAAGAGGAGGGAGGCCAUCAGGACACGUACCUAAUGCAUGGGGGCUUAAAACCUAAUUGAUGGGUUGACAGGUGCAGCAAACCACCAUGGCACAUGUAUACCUAUGAAACAGACCUACACGUUCCGCACAUGUAUCCCAGAACUUAAAGUUUAAAAGAAAUAGUGAUUAAAAAAAACAGUGUGUAGCACCUCCCACCCUGUCUCAUGCUCCUGCUUCUACCGUGUGGAGACGCCUCACUCUCUGUUUUCCUUUUGCCAUGACUGUAAGCUUCCUGAUGCCUUCCCAGAAACAGAAGCCAGAAGCCACUAUGCUUCCUGUACAGUCUACAGAACUGGAGAAGAAUCCCUGACUUCAGAACCCCUGAGGCCCUGCAAGUGAUUUGUAUUAGAGCAUCCCUGCAGUUGACUGUCUGACAGUCACCAGAUGCUGGAUUGAUCUGUAAGUGCCAGAAGUGCACAAAGACUUCACUCCAGAAGAAAGAGCUCUGGGCUGGAUUGUGACUCCAGCGCCCUGGAGGACUGGCUGUGUUUAUGUCCUGUCUGAAGCCUUUAAAAAUACUGUACAGACAUGUGAGAAACCAGUUUACUUGACUCCUAUUUAAAAAAAGAAGGAAAAGAAAACUCACGCUUCUGCUCGACUUAGAGAUAGCAGCCAGCGUGCCCGGAGAAUAGGAAGCUACAUCACCAACAUUUCCAGCUGUUAGCAUCAGGGUGUUAGCUGGUAGUUUUCCCUUCAGCACCAAUUAAUGUUCACCUGGAUGUUUUGAUUUGAAUACUUUUGAAAUCUCUUCUGUCAAGGUACUACUUAGCAGUUUAGUUGCUACAAGAAACUGUCUAUAUUUAUGUCUAAAAAGUUUUACAGUGCCUUUUAAAAUGUUCUCACCAAACCACUCAAGAUUGUAUCAGCAGUAAGUGUGUCAUCCACACGAAUAUCCGUGGAGUCUCACCAUGAAUAACGUGAUUAAGGAGCAUAAUGUGUGGACGCCCAGCCCAUCGGGAGCUUCAUCAGCCUGACUCUCAGGUCUGCUGCAGUUUGCUGGCGGUCCACUCCAGACACUGUUCACCUGGGUAUCGCCUGGCUUCAGAACAGCAAAGAUUGUGCCUGCUCCUUCCUCUGGAAGCUUCAUCCCAGAGUGCCACCAGCCUGUUGCCAGCUGGAGCUCUCCUAUAUGAGGUGUCUGUCAACUCCUGUUGGGAGACCUUCAAUAAAAUUCAACAUCCCUUCGUGCUAAAAACCCUCAAUAAAUGAGAUAUUGAUGGAACAUAUAUCAAAAUAAUAAGAGCUAUUUAUGACAAACCCAUAGUCAAUAUCAUACUGAAUGGGCAAAAGCUGGAAGCAUUCCCUUUGAAAACCAGCACAAGGCAAGAUGCCCUUUCUCACCACUCCUAUUCAACAUUGUAUUGGAAGUUCUAGCCAGGGCAAUCAGGCAAGAGAAAGAACAAAAAGGUAUUCAAAUAGGAAGAAAGGAAGUCAAAUUGGCUUUGUCUGCAGAUGACAUGAUUGCAUAUUUAGAAAACUCCGUGUCUCAGCCCCAAAACUCCUUAAGCUCAUAAGCAACUUCAGCAAAGCUUCGGGAUACAAAGUCAAUGCACAAAAAUCACGAGCAUUCCUAUACACCAAAAAUAGACAAGCACAGAGUCAAAUCAUAUGUGAACUCUCAUUCACACUUGCUACAAAGAGAAUAAAAUACCUAGGAAUACAACUUACAAGGGACUUGAAGAACCUCUUCAAGGAGAACUACAAACCACUGCUAAAGAAAAUAAAAGAGGACACAAGCAACUGGAAAAAAAUUCCAUGCUCAUGGAUAAAAAGAAUCAAUAUUGUGAAAUGGCCAUACUGCCUGAAGUAAUUUACAGAUUUUGCUAUUCCCAUCACGCUACCAUUGACUUUCUUUGCAGAACUAGGAAAAAACUACUUUAAAUUUCAUAUGGAACCAAAAAUGAGCCCGUAUAGCCAAGACAAUUCUAAAAAGAACAAAGCCGGAGGCAUCAUGCUACCUGCCUUCAAACUAUACUACAAGGUUAUAGUAAACAAAACAGCAUGGUACUGCUACAAAAACAGACAUAUAGACCAAUGGAGAAAACAGAGGCCUCAGAAAUAAUGCCACACAUCUACAACCAUAUGAUCUUUGACAAACCUGACAAAAACCAGCAAAAAGGAAAGGAUUCCCUAUAUAAUAAAUGGUGCUGAGAAAACUGGCUAGCCAUAUGCAGAAAACAGAAAUUGGACUCCUUCCUUAUACCUUAUACAAAAAGUAACUCAAGAUGGAUUAAAGACUUAAAUGUAAAAUCUGAAACUGUAAAACCCUAGAAGAAAACCUAGUCAAUACCAUUCAGUUCCAUACGCAUGGGCAAAGACUUCAUGACUAAAAUACCAAAAGCAAUUGCAACAAAAGCCAGAAUUGACAAAUGGGAUCUAAACUAAAGAGCUUCUGCACAGCAAAAGAAAGUAUCAUCAAGGUGAACAGGCAACCUACCAAAUGGGAGAAAAUUUUUGCAAUCUAUCCAUCUAACAAAGAAUACCCAGAAUCUACAAGGAACUUAAACAAAUUUAUGAGAAAAAAACAAAAAACCCCAUCAAAAAGUGGGCAAAGGAUAUGAACAGACAGUUUUCAAAAAGAAGACAUUUAUGAGGUCAACAAACAUAUGAAAAAAAGCUCAUCAUCACUGGUCAUUAGAGAAAUGCACGUCAAAACCACAAUGAGAUACCAUCUCAUGCCAGUUAGAAUGGCAAUCAUUUAAAAGUCAGGAAACAACAGAUGCUCAAGAGGAUGUGGAGAAAUAGGAAUGCUUUUACACUGUUGGUAGGAGUGUAAAUUAGUUCAACCAUUGUGGAAGACAGUGUGAUGAUUCCUCAAGGAUCUAGAACCAGAAAUACCAUUUGGCCCAGCAAUCUCAUUACUGGGUAUAUACUGAAAGGUGUAUAAAUCAUUCUACUCUAAAGUCCCAUGCACACACAUGUUUAUUGCAGAACUAUUUACAAUAGCAAAGACUUGGAACCAAUCCAAAUUCCUAUCAAUGAUAGACUGGAUAAAGAAAAUGUGGCACAUACACCAUGGAAUACUAUGCAGCCAUAAAAAAAGAAUGAGUUCAUGUCCUUUGCAGGGGCAUGGAUGAAGCUGGAAACCGUCAUUCUCAGCAAACUAACACAGGAACUGAAAACCAAACACUGCAUGUUCUCACUCAUAAGUAGGAGCUGAAUAAUGAGAACACAUGGAUACAGGGAGGGGAACAUCAUACACUGGGGCCUGUCAGGGGUGGAGGGCAAGAAAAGAGAGAACAUUAGGACAAAUGCCUAAUGCAUGCGGGUCUAAAAACCUAGAUGAUGGAUUGAUUGACCCAUCAUGCAUUAGGUAUUUGUCCUAAAAGCACAUUUACCUAUGUAAUCAACCUGCACAUUACCUAUGUAACCAACCUAUUUGUCCUAAUAGCACAGGUUUACCUAUGUAACCAAUCUGCACAUUGCCUAUGCAACCAACCUGCAAGUUCUGCACAUGUAUUCCAGAACUUACGGUUUAAAAAAAAAGAAUGAUAAUCAUUUGAAACUUUAAUACACAUGAUAAAAUGAGCAUUUACUGA